Molecule: ribosomal RNA, 449 nt
Filed under: uncultured bacterium
Lineage: Bacteria
Description: partial 16S ribosomal RNA
Rfam family: Bacterial small subunit ribosomal RNA
Source: RNAcentral
AACGAACGCUGGCGGCAGGCCUAACACAUGCAAGUCGAACGCUCUAGCAAUAGAGAGUGGCAGACGGGUGAGUAACGCGUGGGAACCUUCCCAAUGGUGCAGAAUAGCCCAGGGAAACUUGGGGUAAUACUGCAUAAGCCCUUCGGGGGAAAGAUUUAUCGCCAUUGGAUGGGCCCGCGUCGGAUUAGCUAGUUGGUAAGGUAAUGGCUCACCAAGGCAACGAUCCGUAGCUGGUUUGAGAGAAUGACCAGCCACACUGGGACUGAGACACGGCCCAGACUCCUACGGGAGGCAGCAGUGGGGAAUCUUGGACAAUGGGCGCAAGCCUGAUCCAGCCAUGCCGCGUGAGUGACGAAGGCCUUAGGGUUGUAAAGCUCUUUUGCCGGGGACGAUAAUGACGGUACCCGGAGAAUAAGUCCCGGCUAACUUCGUGCCAGCAGCCGCCGUAA